This 253-nucleotide ribosomal RNA is filed under the name uncultured bacterium. RNAcentral's name for it is "partial 16S ribosomal RNA". It matches the Rfam family "Bacterial small subunit ribosomal RNA", at positions 524 to 776 of the family's 1533-position model. The record is from RNAcentral.
UACGUAGGGACCAAGCGUUGUUCGGAUUUACUGGGCGUAAAGGGCGCGUAGGCGGCUUGUCAAGUCACUUGUGAAAUCUCUGGGCUUAACCCAGAACGGCCAAGUGAAACUGACAUGCUAGAGUGCAGAAGGGGCAAUCGGAAUUCUUGGUGUAGCGGUGAAAUGCGUAGAUAUCAAGAGGAACACCUGAGGUGAAGACGGAUUGCUGGGCUGACACUGACGCUGAGGCGCGAAAGCCAGGGGAGCAAACGGG